ACCCUUUCCAGGUGAUAGCAGCACGGUUGUUGGAAUCAAAACAGUCUAUACCUCAUUUAUAUUUGUCCACAGGUCUCAAACUUCCUAAGAUUUUUGUACUCAUAGUAUUAUAUAUCUAGCCCUACCCAUCUGAUACUCAUAUUAAAGAUUUCAAUUUAGAUGUCAUACUGGAUCCUCCUCUCUCCUUUAGGAAGGAGCUUAAAACAAAAUAUGGUGUAAAAGUCUCAGUGAAUGACAUCAUCAUCAAAGCUGUUGCUAUUGCAUUGAGAAAUGUACCAGAAGCAAAUGCUUACUGGGAUGCUGCAAAAGCGCGAAAUAAUUUUAAGUGAUUCAGUUGACAUAUCUAUUGCAGUUGCUACUGGGAAGGUAUUUCAAAAACAAUC
Long non-coding RNA from Olea europaea var. sylvestris, 383 nucleotides. RefSeq lists it as uncharacterized. The record is from RefSeq and is a predicted model, not a curated record. NCBI's taxonomy places the organism in Eukaryota, Viridiplantae, Streptophyta, Magnoliopsida, Lamiales, Oleaceae. The transcript is spliced from 3 exons.